CGACGCCGACGCCGACGCCGACGCCAACGCCAACGCCAAUGUCGACGUCGACGUCGCCGUCUCCGGGAAUGCUUAUGGCGCAUGUGCGGCAAAUGAUCGCAGGAUUAUUACAGAUUAACGUCACAGGAUCUGAGAGGAGGAGGAGGAAAAGGCUUUGGAAAAGCAUCGGUCCUUAGCGAAGAAACCUUGAGAUAAACCACAUGUCAAACUUGAACCUCGCAUGCGAAAUGACCGGGAUGCAAAAGGACUUCGGGGGUACACGAGACGUGAGUUUUACUUUUAUUAUAUCGAGAUUAUUACUUUAUAUCCCUAUUUCUGCACAAUUUUGCAUUUCAUUAAUCAGGGGAUGACAGUUUCGAAAAAAUUAAAGUCGAGAUUGAUAAAAAGUGUAGUUAGUAUACCGACGUUAUCGCGUUUUCUCAAGUAAAGUGCCGAAUUUUGUGCUAAAGCACAUCUAAUCUUUAUCGUGAUUUGAGAUGGCCAUUCUUUUCGCACGCUCGAGAAAAAUACCUCGAGAAUACGGCGUUAAUUCUCGUUAAUUCGCGGAAAAAAAAAUCGACACUCACGUAGGCGAUUUACGAUUUACGAUUUACGAUUUUUGGGGACGCGGCUGAGACAGAGUGGAUGCCGCGCGCCGAAUCUUUUAACGAUGAUGUGCGGCCGAUUGUAAAUGACAGCGAUAAAGCUUGCGUAGUAAUAAAUGGCUUAAAGUGGUUUAAAGCCGCGUCGCGUUUACGCACCCUCUGCGCUCAUUUCACUCAGCUUGAGACUUGGGCGAGGAAAACAGAGAUAAAGCGAGAACUUGAUUUAAUUCCAAGUAUUCGAAUUUAAACUUUGUAUCUUUUUACACACAAAUUAACAAGCAAAACUUAAGUUUAAAGAUCAGAAUAUCUUGAUUUACUUUGCCUCUGUGCGAGACAGUCGUUGACCAUCGGAUGAAGAAAGAAACUGUACAGAUAUAUGUUUACUCGCCGUUCAACGAAAUCGAAGCGGGAGAUAAAACUUGAAAAAUUUAUCCUGAAAUAUCUCUAAUUCGGAACUACGAGCUACGCUCGUUCGUGCGAAAAUGGGGAUGAUGCGUCAUCCCCAUAAAAAUCCUCUUGCGCGCAAUUCGAGCCGAUCGUGAUCGCGCAGGGUCGCGUCGCGGAACCAACCAGCCUGCACGCGGCCGCGGCUGCACGUUCGAACCCGACGCAAUGUUCAAAGCUCUCUGUACAGCGGAAAGUGUCGAGAGAGAUUUUCCCGCGUCGUUGCGGAUGGCUUUCGCGGCACGCAAUCACCGAUUUUUUAGCGUCACGUUUUAAUGCACGUGUCUGCGGAUGAAUGAACGAAACAUGGACUUUGUUAAUCCAAUCGAGAGAUACAAACGAUUCAUCCGAUAUACAAUUUUUUUAUUCAUUUUUCUAAAACUCAAUUGUUACAACAAAAAAUUGAUAAAGAAAGUAACAAACUGUAACGAAUGCUAAACGGCUAUUACAAAUUUAAUAGAUAUAUAAUUUGUAUUAAUAAAUGCUUAAAAAAAAAACAACAAAAAACAACAAUUGCUCUAAUUUUAGGACCAAAUAUUAUAGAAAAUAAUAUAUAUCUAAAUGAAUUAGAAAAUAUAUUAUUUCAUUGUAUAUAUAAUCUUUGUAAUAUACUUGAUUUCCACACAUCAAAGGUAACAUUACGAGUAUUAUCAUUAAGAUGUUACAUUUUUUUAAUUUUACAAAGAAAGUAUAAAAACAGGUUGCAUGACAAAGCAUAAUUAUCUAUUUAAUGAUGCUGAGAUUUCAAAAUUAUUGUGACUAAAAUAUUAAAAGGUGCAAAUUGCAAGAUUAUUAUAUGUACCCUCUUUUAACAUUAGGAGGAUUAAAUCUCCGACAAUCUCCCCUUAAGCAAACAUAAAUGAAGAUGUUACUCUUUUAUAAUGCUGCAAACUCCAUUUUACUUGAAAGCUUCACGUUAAAGAAGCAGAAGAAAUUUAAACGAGAGAUUUGUAAAGAAACACACAACGUGUCUGUUAAAUAAAGACACGCGCUUACUUCUUAAAUAUUCUAUUCUCGAAUUCUGUCAACUUUCUUUAUCCUAAAAUUCUAAAAUGAAGGAAACCGUUACUUGAAACUAACAAAUUCUUUCGACAGAUUAAAAUGCAUUAAAAAUUAUUUUACAAAUUAUUUUACAAAUGACAUACUUAUACACAUGGAAACCAAAUGUAUUAUUUGUACGCUGCAAAUAUCGUAUAAAUAAAAAUCAGAAAUGUUUCACUAAAUUUGUAUUAGGAGAUGACAAACAUUUUUCGUUAUUUCUUAAUUAAAAACAUGAGAAAACAAAGUAUUUCGUACAAUUUUGGAUCUACCCUGUGUGUAAUAUAAUAUGCGCAAGUUUCAUAGUAGGAAAUGAAAGCGGAAAUAAUGGGCCAUGCACGCGAAAAUUAAUGCCGUGUUAUACGAGUCGACGAAUGCUAGUGCAUAAAACCACUGCACAUGUAUAAAGUGUUCCAGAAAUUUUCAUUUUAAUAAGAAAUAUUUUUUAACUCGGCUAAAAUUUUUUCUCAAGUUAAGCUUCGAGAUGGCAAUAAUCUCGGAGUCAUUAAGAGAUCGAAAAUAAAAUGAUUAUAGACUUUUAUAAUGUAAUGUUACGUAUAACGAUCUUAAAAGCUUUUUAACCUUAUUUCAGUUUAAACGAUUAUUAUGUUUUCAGAAUUUUUAUUUUCAAGUUUAAUUUUGUUUUUAUUCAAGAUAUAUUAAACAAAUUUAGUAAUAUAUUAGCUGAGGUUGGGAUUUUUUAGGACACCGUGUAUAAAAGCCAUAAAACGUUAAAAGCUUAUCCCGACUAUAUCAACUACUCUUUUGAUAAUAAUAAAAGUUGUAAUAAAAGCGAUCAAAUGCGAUAGUAUAAAUAGCAAAAAUAAUUCGAGACCUUUAUUUUUGGUAUACGCUGGAAUAUUAAAUUUUAAAUACUGCACAGACAAUUGUUUCUUCUACGGAUAACUUUUAACGGUAUUUACGCGGGGGCGCGAUUUAUUUCAACGAAAUUGUCGUUUGAUUGGUCGAAGUAGCAUGAAACGUUAACAAUUAUAUCGCGUCAAUUUUUUUAAUUCGAAUUAAAAUUUCUGCGCAAAAAUAUCAGUUAUCGAAUGCGAAUCUUAUGUAACGGGAGAUGAUAGACGAUUCGACCAACUUUGGACAAUUCUGCAUUAUUUGUUUGCCUACGGAGGAUUUUACAAAAAGUACUCGAGUAUUCUUCCAUCAAAAAUACCGAUGCGUUUCUAUUUUUAUUGCGAUUUUCUCUGACAUCUCUCGUUCGAAAGAUCUUUCGUUCGAAAGAUUUCGAAAAGCAUACAAUUUUAUCUCUACAUGCGCCCGCGCGCGAGACACGUGGAAAACGUGGAAUUUCGACGAUGGAAAUCUCUAUGUCUAUUUAUAUUUCAUUGCCUUGUUAAGUUUGAUUACAGUUUAGAGAUGAAACUGCAAUGAGUUAUAGCAAAAUAUAGUCGGUUGGCAGAAGUUGCACAAUUAUAGUCUCGAGGUAUUUUUAAAUUAAAUCCAAAUGCUACUAUGCUCUUUAACAAAGUAAGAUAAAGACAAAGGCUCUUGUAAAACAGUUGUAAGGCAUUAAUCGAAUUUAGUUUCUUAAGCGAUAUCACGUUUGUAACGUAAUACGAACAAUUGAUUGAAUUUUACUAAUAGAGAGAGAGAGAGAGAGAGAGAGAGAACAAUAAAGAUACGAAUUAUUAUCCUCCAGAGAAAGAAAUGGCAUUUACGAGCCAUUUUUGAAUGCAAGCGAGAGAAUGACACGAGAGAAUGGCAGAAAUCGGCCGAUGUGCGCAACACGCACUUUCAUCGUCAAUUUUUGGCAAGAUUUGGCAGCAUGUCAUCCAUUUGGAUACAUGACACGUGUAAAAUAUGACCGAAAUUGAUGAGCGGCAUGUGUACAUACAUACAAAAAGUAAAAACAAUCGAAUGCUGUGUUACGCGUGCAUGUGUAUAAAAAAGUGAGGAAGCUCUCGAUCGCUCUCUGUCACUCGAUACAAAAUGACGAUGCGAAUGGAACGAGUAGCAAGUUUAUCGACGAGUCGUAUUACGUAUCGUCGUUGACAUUUGACUUUCCGGCCUUCCGGAACGCGCGACUUUUACACGUACACAACGUUGUUUUUUUUUUCCCCAACGUCCAACUGCAUGUCCAACUCGAAAUAUGCCUUAUACAUAUACGCGCGUACGAUUUCCUUUAACAGUUUGUUAAAAAAGUCCAGUCGCGCAUUUCCGCAGGCUUUGCAUACGCCGCGCGGCGCCGCGGCGCAGCGGUGCGUUGUUCGAAUCGUACACUGCGUAUGUACGCAUCGAGUUUAAAGCCGAUAGUGUGCUUGUGUAUGUGUCGAGUGAAAAGUGAAAUACGCCGCCUCUCCGCGCCGUUUGUCCACGACAACGUUAUAUAAACCACUGACGGCCAUCGGUCGUUAUUAUUGCCAAACCUAAAUCCAUCACUAAAUGAAUAACGAUACCUACGUCGGCGGUACGAUCUCAAAAUCAAUUAAGAAUCGCCGCGCCGCGCCGCGCCGAUAUUUAUAGAAAUGUCACCAGACUUUACCGAUAAUGAAAUUCAAGUUUUGCCAUCGUACCAUCGCCAUCGCCAUCGAUAUGUAUGCGUGCGAUCCUCUCCCGAGAAUUGAUGAGCGUUUCGCCUAUUCAUUAUAAUUAUUGAUUUCUUCGCGCCCAAUUAUGUAAUUUUGGAACAAUUUAACAAAAUGGAUGGGAAAAGCUUACACACGAAAACUUUUUUCAACUUUUCAUAGUUGUUGAAUUUUUAUUGAGAAUUCAAUCAUCGAGAUAUUAAUGUUGAAUGUUAAAAUGAAUUUUUAAGUCAACAGAAAUUAAAUUAAAAAUUGCUAAAAUAUCAAGUCUGCAAUGUUACGUCUGUAAUUUUACCGAAUUUUAAUUUGGAAAGAUUAAUUUGUAAAAAAUAAAAAAAGGAGAAUAUAUUUUCACGCUAAAUGUACGUCGACGAUCGACGCAUUUAGUUUUAGCGGUGUACGUAAUACCGAAGCGCUGAUAACCACGUUGCGAAGCAUAGCGUGCGCCCGCGCGCCACCAGCGAUGUUUAUCAUUUUCACUAACUGACAAUUUUGGCAACCGAGAUCGCCCGAUUUUAUCCUCUUUCGCUUCUAUGGUUAUUUACUGCAACACGCCACGACAUGAAUUAACAUGAUAUAUGCACUCGUCAUAUCGCUCCUUUCCAUUCAUGGCGGUUUAAAGAACAGAUUGAAUAAUAACGUAAUAAUGUUAAAAAUUUAAAUAAAAUAACGAAGGAGAGAGCCAUCGUUAUAAUUAAUACAAAAAGCAGGGAGAGAGAGAGAGAGAGAGAG
Molecule: long non-coding RNA, 5344 nt
Organism: Solenopsis invicta (red fire ant)
Lineage: Eukaryota; Metazoa; Arthropoda; Insecta; Hymenoptera; Formicidae
Exons: 3
Source: RefSeq, a predicted model, not a curated record